GUGUCUCCACACCGUAGACUCAAGACACAUCUACCCUAAGGAAGUGAUCGUACACCAACCUUCCGAAUCGAUCACCAUCCUCGUGAUGAUCCUAUGGUCAGGAGCUGUUUAUGAGUUAGUUAUGUAAAUUCAUGCCUUAAUUUUUUAACUCUUGAAAAUAUGAAUUUACAUUCCUACUAACUCAAAGGAUGUAUCACAGACACAAUAUAUACAAUGUGAUAGAAGAAUAAUCUUUUUAUUCAUUUAUAGUUAAAAUUAUAAAUUUGCCCUUAGAUCUGUACAGGAAUGUGUCAGUCGAUCUGGCAUCUAGGGCACAUCCAACAGGAUCUUCUAGAUCUAAUGAGAUCUGGGGUGAAAUAUUUUAAAAAAAUUAUCCUAUGAUAUUUCAGAUCUAAGAUCUAUUAGAUCUAAUUUUUAUUAUCUGAUAUUAAAUCUAAAAUUAAAUUUGAAAAUAUGAGGAAUAGAGAAAUACCUCUAGGGUAAACAUUGGAUCCAAGCUUACAUGUCUUUAAACAUUUGACAUAAGCCAGAUAUCUCCAACUCUUAAGGUGUGAGAGUACUAGCUUCUGCCUUGUCCAUAUCUUAUAUGGAGUUUUAUUGACAGACU
This 607-nucleotide long non-coding RNA is filed under the name Elaeis guineensis (African oil palm). RNAcentral describes it as "long non-coding RNA (EGUI_LNC054603)". The record is from RNAcentral. Lineage: Eukaryota; Viridiplantae; Streptophyta; Magnoliopsida; Arecales; Arecaceae.